UGAGGAAUAUUGGUCAAUGGGCGAGAGCCUGAACCAGCCAAGUCGCGUGAAGGAAGACAGUCCUAAGGAUUGUAAACUUCUUUUAUACGGGAAUAACGGGCGAUACGAGUAUUGCAUUGAAUGUACCGUAAGAAUAAGCAUCGGCUAACUCCGUUCCAGCAGCCGCGGUAAUACGGAGGAUGCGAGCGUUAUCCGGACUUACUGGGUUUAAAGGGUGCGUAGGUUGUUCGGUAAGUCAGCGGUGAAACCUGAGCGCCCAACGUUCAGCCUGCCGUUGAAACUGCCGGGCUUGAGUUCAGUGGCGGCAGGCGGAAUUCGUUGUGUAGCGGUGAAAUGCAUAGAUAUCACGAGGAACUCCGAUUGCGAAGGCAGCUUGCCAUACUGCGACUGACACUGAAGCACGAAGGCGUGGGUAUCAAACAGG
RNAcentral lists this ribosomal RNA (424 nucleotides) under Fusobacteriota bacterium. Its description in RNAcentral is "Fusobacteria bacterium partial 16S ribosomal RNA". It matches the Rfam family "Bacterial small subunit ribosomal RNA", at positions 355 to 776 of the family's 1533-position model. Lineage: Bacteria; Fusobacteriati; Fusobacteriota. The record is from RNAcentral.